RNAcentral lists this transfer RNA (53 nucleotides) under Aplysia argus. Its description in RNAcentral is "tRNA-Lys". The record is from RNAcentral. Lineage: Eukaryota; Metazoa; Mollusca; Gastropoda; Aplysiida; Aplysiidae.
GGUGACUGAAAUUUAAGUGAUAGACUUUUAAUCUAUUUAUGAGCUAAGCUCCC